This is a non-coding RNA of Miniopterus natalensis, 361 nucleotides long. The record is from RefSeq and is a predicted model, not a curated record. Lineage: Eukaryota; Metazoa; Chordata; Mammalia; Chiroptera; Miniopteridae.
AAGCAGAUAAAAUAUGUUUAGAUUUCCCAAAGCACUUUCUUUGAAUUCAUGACCAUCUGUCUGAAAGACUAUACUAUUGGAAGGAAGUCUCAAUAAACAGCCCACAUUUGAGGAAUGAAGAGUUACCCUCCCCAGGCUCUUGAGGGGUGUGAUGGAGUCUCAUGUCCUGUCAACAACAACCAUGAGAGAGUGGCACACUAACUUGCCUGUUAGUUUGCAGAACUGAAGACAGCCUUUUGCUAUGCUUGUUGGUGAGCUUGGGGGAGGAGACAGGACAGAGAAGGAGACACUCUGAGGACUGCUGGCAUCCUGUAACAUGCAGGUAAGAAAUAUUUACAAAUGAUUUGCUAUGUAUUUUAAA